UUACGGCUUGCAGAAGUCAUUUCCUACUUC
Molecule: small RNA, 30 nt
Filed under: Bombyx mori (domestic silkworm)
Lineage: Eukaryota; Metazoa; Arthropoda; Insecta; Lepidoptera; Bombycidae
Description: ovarian small RNA-36552
Source: RNAcentral